GAAUGUAGCAGUGUGGAAAUAGGGUUGUCCUGCUACAGUUAACUGCGCCUGCCGACCACAAGGGCGGCGGUACUAUAUAAAGGCUGCCCCCCUUCUCGCGCCCCACGGAGGCAUCCUUUCCGGGUCGGGUGUCUGUCUGCACAGAGUGGCGACAGAGUGCUCCGUGCCCCGUCCCCCUUUUUGCUCUUGGGUCCUCUCAACCGGUGGGAAUGCUCAUCAGCUGGCUGAAAUCCACCGGGGGUGAUUUUAUGUGACAACACUCAGUUGAUUCGGGCCACUGCUGCUUUGACUGCUGCUUUGACUGCUGCUUUGCAUGCAGCUUUGACUGCUGCUUUGCCUGCAACUGUGACUGCUGCUUUGCCUGCAACUGUGACUGCUGCUUUGCUGACGGCUGUAGGCUGGUGGUGGCGCCGGUGGUGUGGGUGGUGGUGGUCUUCUUC
This is a long non-coding RNA of Gasterosteus aculeatus aculeatus (three-spined stickleback), 440 nucleotides long. Lineage: Eukaryota; Metazoa; Chordata; Actinopteri; Perciformes; Gasterosteidae. The record is from Ensembl.